RNAcentral lists this ribosomal RNA (427 nucleotides) under uncultured bacterium. RNAcentral's name for it is "partial 16S ribosomal RNA". It matches the Rfam family "Bacterial small subunit ribosomal RNA", at positions 355 to 774 of the family's 1533-position model. The record is from RNAcentral.
UGGGGAAUAUUGCACAAUGGGCGCAAGCCUGAUGCAGCCAUGCCGCGGGUAUGAAGAAGGCCUUCGGGUUGUAAAGUACUUUCAGCGGGGAGGAAGGUGUUGAGGCUAAUAACCUCAGCAAUUGACGUUACCCGCAGAAGAAGCACCGGCUAACUCCGUGCCAGCAGCCGCGGUAAUACGGAGGGUGCAAGCGUUAAUCGGAAUUCCUGGGCGUAAAGCGCACGCAGGCGGUCUGUCAAGUCGGAUGUGAAAUCCCCGGGCUCAACCUGGGAACUGCAUUCGAAACUGGCAGGCUAGAGUCUUGUAGAGGGGGGUAGAAUUCCAGGUGUAGCGGUGAAAUGCGUAGAGAUCUGGAGGAAUACCGGUGGCGAAGGCGGCCCCCUGGACAAAGACUGACGCUCAGGUGCGAAAGCGUGGGGAGCAAACA